AUUGAACGCUGGCGGCAUGCUUUACACAUGCAAGUCGAACGGUAACAGGCCGCAAGGUGCUGACGAGUGGCGAACGGGUGAGUAAUGCACCGGAACGUGCCCAGUCGUGGGGGAUAACUACUCGAAAGAGCAGCUAAUACCGCAUACGAUCUAUGGAUGAAAGCGGGGGACCGUAAGGCCUCGCGCGAUUGGAGCGGCCGAUGUCAGAUUAGGUAGUUGGUGGGGUAAAGGCUCACCAAGCCAACGAUCUGUAGCUGGUCUGAGAGGACGACCAGCCACACUGGAACUGAGACACGGCCCAGACUCCUACGGGAGGCAGCAGUGGGGAAUUUUGGACAAUGGGCGCAAGCCUGAUCCAGCAAUGCCGCGUGCAGGAAGAAGGCCUUCGGGUUGUAAACUGCUUUUGUACGGAACGAAACGGCUCUGGUUAAUACCCGGGGCUAAUGACGGUACCGUAAAAAUAAGCACCGGCUAACUACGUG
Molecule: ribosomal RNA, 482 nt
Filed under: uncultured bacterium
Lineage: Bacteria
Description: partial 16S ribosomal RNA
Rfam family: Bacterial small subunit ribosomal RNA
Source: RNAcentral